UACGGGGGGGGCAAGCGUUGUUCGGAAUUACUGGGCGUAAAGGGUUCGUAGGUGGCCAACUAAGUCAGACGUGAAAUCCCUCAGCUUAACUGGGGAACUGCGUCUGAGACUGGAUGGCUUGAGUGCAGGAGAGGAACGCGGAAUUCCAGGUGUAGCGGUGAAACGCGUAGAUAUCUGGAGGAACACCGGUGGCGAAGGCGGCAUCCUGGACCGGCAUUGACGCUGAGGCGCGAAAGCUAGGGGAGCAAACGGG
Molecule: ribosomal RNA, 253 nt
Filed under: uncultured bacterium
Lineage: Bacteria
Description: partial 16S ribosomal RNA
Rfam family: Bacterial small subunit ribosomal RNA
Source: RNAcentral